CCUACGGGAGGCAGCAGUGAGGAAUAUUGGUCAAUGGCCGGAAGGCUGAACCAGCCAAGUCGCGUGAAGGACGAAGGUGCCAAGCAUUGUAAACUUCUUUUGUCAAGGGACAAAAUCAGGCUCGAGAGCCUGACCGAGGGUACUUGAAGAAAAAGCAUCGGCUAACUCCGUGCCAGCAGCCGCGGUAAUACGGAGGAUGCGAGCGUUAUCCGGAUUUAUUGGGUUUAAAGGGUGCGUAGGGGGGCUGUUAAGUCAGCGGUAAAAGCCCGGGGCUCAACCCCGUCGUGCCGUUGAAACUGGCGUUCUUGAGUGAGCGAGAAGUAUGCGGAAUGCGUGGUGUAGCGGUGAAAUGCAUAGAUAUCACGAAGAACUCCGAUUGCGAAGGCAGCAUACCGGCGCUCAACUGACGCUCAUGCACGAAAGCGUGGGUAUCGAACAGGAUUAGAUACCCUAGUAGUC
RNAcentral lists this ribosomal RNA (459 nucleotides) under uncultured bacterium. Its description in RNAcentral is "partial 16S ribosomal RNA". It matches the Rfam family "Bacterial small subunit ribosomal RNA", at positions 338 to 795 of the family's 1533-position model. The record is from RNAcentral.